Molecule: long non-coding RNA, 685 nt
Filed under: Helianthus annuus (common sunflower)
Lineage: Eukaryota; Viridiplantae; Streptophyta; Magnoliopsida; Asterales; Asteraceae
Description: hypothetical non coding rna
Source: RNAcentral
GUAUACAUGGCCACUCAGGAAUACCGACUCUCCUACAAAGAUUUCACGGGCACUACUCAGUCCAAACAAUGGAACAAGACGACAGUACCUAGUUUUGUCAAACGACUUUGAUUUACGGAUCAUUUUUUUGGGAUGUAGAUAAGUUCUAUUUGUGCGAUCUAUUUGGAUUGAAGUUUGCAAACCGGCAUCCUGCAAGACAAACCUGAAGGAGUCUUUGAACUACAAGAAUAUCAUUGCUAUAACCCCGCGGUGUAUCCAUGACAAACUCAAGCACACCAACACGUUUAUUAGUGUCAAUCACAGGCACAGCAAAGGAUCCCCAAUUCUUAGUAAAAAUAGCAUCUUCACACGGAGGACGCUGAUCUUCAGGGUAUUCGUGCACGUUUUGAGUUUGUUGAGGAGUGCAGCGUAGGUAAGCCUUGCCUGCAAGACCGAAUGCCGCUUCUUCCUUAGCAUCUCUAUACACAUAGAGUUUGUGGUCUAAACAGGCUAAAUAGUAUUUCUGAAGUUCUUUGUUGAUCCCAAAAAGACGAAAAGGCAUAUGUGUUGCGGUAGUAAGCACACAUGCGUCUCCAAUUUCCUUUGGCACCCAUAACAGAACAAGAACAGAUUCACCGUCUUUAACUGGUAAAAUUUCAAGGAUAGAAGUGAUCUUUUUCAGCACCUCGCCAUCAAUGGGAGCACG